UACACUGCGUUACAUUGGGAAACCUGAGAAAUUUCCAUCUGAGAGUGGGUGGGAACAUUGAAAAGAGAACAUGGGUUCCCCCUGAGCCGGCAGGGAAGAGACCACAGGCGGCACCAGACACACACCGACACACAACGACACACACACACCUGCCUGACAACACCUGUACACCACUGCCACCAUGCUGCGCUCGGGGUGGAUGUUCACUGUGAUCCUCAUCCAACACGUCGGGGGGAUCCCUCUGCUACCUCCUCUGGCUAUGGAAGGUGGCUGCUUCCUGGCUUCUGAAGAGGUGGAUAUUUUUGUGUUGGAGGGUGAGGCUAUAAUCCUCUCCUGCCCAAUGUUUGACGGAGUGCUUGAAAAACGCAACAUCGCCCCCCCAAACGCAAACUACCUCAUCACCAAGGACAAUGGGAUGGAGGGCGUGUCGUUUCAGGGCGAGGGCCGUGUUCAGCAGCGGGAAAAACAGCUUUGGUUUCUCCCAGCAGAAGCCUCCGACUCAGGAGAAUACACCUGCAACUACAGAAAUGAAACGUACUGUGUGACUGGGAAUAUAACGCUGAGAGUGUACGAGUCCAGGUCUGUGGACCAGGAGAAACUGACCAGCAAAGUAGAAGUGGAGGUGGGAGAGAAUCUGAGAUACGCUUGUCCGUCUCUGGACGACUUCAACGACACAGAGACUCUGAUUGAGUGGAACAAGGACCCUCGGCGAGGCAGAGCGGGCCCCUUCAGCCAGGCCAGAGGGAGGCUGAUAAUCCCUGCUGUGAGGCACUCACAUGCAGGUCAGUACACCUGUCGGCUCACGGUGCUCAUCGAUGAGCAGCCGUACAGAGUGAGCAGAAGCAUCGCGCUCAUUGUGAGAGGCGUAGAUCCUGAACCACCGAGCACCACCUCCAGCACUUUGCAUGACCUCUCCUCCACCUCUGACUCAGAGAUCCUCAGCAGCAGCAGCAGCACGGUUUACACUCCAGUGAUUCGUCCCCCUGUGAUUGUCUCGCCAAAGAAUGGGACUGUCUUUGAAAGUCUGCACGGUUCAGGACUGGAGCUGUUCUGUAAGGUGCUCACUGAAUGCCAAACGGCAGAGUCCACUGUGGUCACAUGGCUCGUCAACGACCAAUCAGUGGAGACCUCGUACCUUGAUGGACGGGCUCUGCAGGGGGGAAGGAGGGUAACCGCGGAGUCUGAAGUGUGCCAGGUUGAGUUGAGGCUUCUUAUCGUAGCGAUGACUAACGAAGACGUGAACACGGAGCUGAAGUGUGUCGCUCAGAACAAAGGAGGGAGACAGGAAGUGGUUGCACUGCUUCAACUAGAGGACACCACGUCUACCUGGCUGCUGGUCGCUACUGUGGCCGCCUGCUUCUUCCUGACCGUCGUGUCCAUCUUCCUUUACGUCCUCUUCAAACCUAAAAGGACAAAGAAAAUGGAUUACUUUCUGGCUCGGCAGAACAGCACCUUUUAGCACGCUACCUCCACAAACACAGACCCUCUCGAUGAGUUUGCUGUUACAUUACAGUUCAUGCAUUGUGUGCACGUUGUGUCGUGCAGUGACACCGUCUGGUGAACAACACUCCUUCUGCAGGGAUCUAAUAGCUGUACUUUAAACGCAUGAAUGAUAUUGUAUGUGUUAAUGUGGAAAUUACAUCCAUAUAUUUACAUUUUAUACAUAACCACAAAACUGAUGCUACACAGCAGCACAGCACAACUUCUAAAACAGGAUUAAAGAGGACUAAAAUCCAAAGUUUGCUUCUAUUGGCCAGCACUCCAACACACUGUAGGUGAUAGGCUAAGGGGCGGGACAUCACUAACCGGUUGACCAAUCACAACACAGAUGGUCAGCUAACCAGUCAGAGCAGACUGGGCUCUGGUUUCAGACAGAGGGGUAAGAGAGGUGCUGCAGCACAGGCAGUAUGAGAAACAUAAAGAGCUUUUUGAACAUUAAAGCAUGG
RNA transcript from Eleginops maclovinus (Patagonian blennie), 1946 nucleotides. It is a transcript of the gene named interleukin-1 receptor type 2, with no coding region annotated. Lineage: Eukaryota; Metazoa; Chordata; Actinopteri; Perciformes; Eleginopidae. The transcript has 11 exons. The record is from RefSeq and is a predicted model, not a curated record.